RNAcentral lists this ribosomal RNA (796 nucleotides) under uncultured Pelagibacteraceae bacterium. RNAcentral describes it as "bacterial SSU rRNA". It matches the Rfam family "Bacterial small subunit ribosomal RNA", at positions 45 to 889 of the family's 1533-position model. Lineage: Bacteria; Pseudomonadati; Pseudomonadota; Alphaproteobacteria; Candidatus Pelagibacterales; Candidatus Pelagibacteraceae. The record is from RNAcentral.
CGCCUAACACAUGCAAGUCGAACGCAGUAGCAAUACUGAGUGGCAAACGGGUGAGUAUAAUGUGGGAAUCUGCCUUUUGGUUCAGAAUAACACGGGGAAACUUGUGCUAAUACUGGAUAAGCCCUUACGGGGAAAGUUUUAACGCCGAAAGAUGAGCCUGCACUUGAUUAGCUAGUUGGUAAGGUAAAGGCUUACCAAGGCAAUGAUCAAUAGCUGUUCUUAGAGGAAGACCAGCCACAUUGGGACUGAGACACGGCCCAGACUCCUACGGGAGGCAGCAGUGGGGAAUCUUGCACAAUGGGGGAAACCCUGAUGCAGCGAUGCCGCGUGAGUGAAGAAGGCCCUUGGGUUGUAAAACUCUUUCGUCGGGGAAGAAAAUGACUGUACCCGAAUAAGAAGGUCCGGCUAACUUCGUGCCAGCAGCCGCGGUAAUACGAAGGGACCUAGCGUAGUUCGGAAUUACUGGGCUUAAAGAGCUCGUAGGUGGUUAAAAAAGUUGAUGGUGAAAUCCCAAGGCUCAACCUUGGAACUGCCAUCAAAACUUUUUAGCUAGAGUGUGAUAGAGGUAAGUGGAAUUUCUAGUGUAGAGGUGAAAUUCGUAGAUAUUAGAAAGAACACCAAAUGCGAAGGCAACUUACUGGGUCACUACUGACACUGAGGAGCGAAAGCAUGGGUAGCGAAGAGGAUUAGAUACCCUCGUAGUCCAUGCCGUAAACGAUGUGUGCUAGACGUUGGAAAUAUAUUUUUCAGUGUCGCAGCGAAAGCAUUAAGCACACCGCCUGGGGAGUACGACCGC